CGCUGAAUUUAAGCAUAUUAAUAAGCGGAGGAAAAGAAACUAACAAGGAUUCCUUUAGUAACGGCGAGUGAAGAAGGAAUAGCUCAAAUUUAAAUCAUGAAUCUCUGGUUUAUGAAUUGUAGUUUUAGAAGUUGGAUUCGUUUUUCAAUAAUAUACUUAAAUCCUUUGGAAAAAGGUAUCAUAGAAGGUGAAAAUCCUGUUUAUAGUAUAUUAAUUGAGAGGCAUAUGUAUCUGAUUUCAAGAGUCGGGUUGUUUGGGAAUGCAACCUAAAAUGGGUGGUAAAUCUCAUCUAAAGCUAAAUAUUGAUAGGAGACCGAUAGCAAACAAGUACCGUGAGGGAAAGGUGAAAAGAACUUUGAAAAGAGAGUUAAAAGUACUUGAAAAUUGUUAACAGGGAAACGAUAUAAUCCUUUAUACUAUUUGAAUUGAAUCAAUUUUAUCAUGUUUAUUUGUGGUAUUUAUAAUUGCUUGCUUUAUGGAUAUUACUGAUGAAUUGAUAGGAUGC
RNAcentral lists this ribosomal RNA (505 nucleotides) under uncultured eukaryote. RNAcentral describes it as "eukaryotic LSU rRNA". It matches the Rfam family "Eukaryotic large subunit ribosomal RNA", at positions 26 to 532 of the family's 3401-position model. The record is from RNAcentral.